This 253-nucleotide ribosomal RNA is filed under the name uncultured bacterium. Its description in RNAcentral is "partial 16S ribosomal RNA". It matches the Rfam family "Bacterial small subunit ribosomal RNA", at positions 524 to 776 of the family's 1533-position model. The record is from RNAcentral.
GACGUAGGGCGCGAGCGUUGUCCGGAUUUAUUGGGCGUAAAGAGCUCGUAGGCGGCUCGUUGCGUCGGCUGUGAAAACCCGCAGCUCAACUGUGGGCUUGCAGCUGAUACGGGCGGGCUGGGAUUCGGUAGGGGAGACUGGAAUUCCUGGUGUAGCGGUGAAAUGCGUAGAUAUCAGGAGGAACACCGGUGGCGAAGGCGGCCCUCUGGACGGAUACUGACGCUGAGACGCGACAGCGUGGGGAGCAAACAGG